UGACAUAUAAUAUGGACAAAAAUAGUACAAAUUUAUUGGGUGAAAUAUUAUUUUCUUAAUCUAUUAAAGUACUUGUAUUUGCCCUUUUUAGAAGAAACAUGGGAAUGCUCAUCAAAUAAAAUAACAAGGUAAACGGAAAUUAGUUAAAAGGCCUAAAAGAAAGAUAUAUCAUUCACCUACCGGAUAAAUCCAAAUUUCAGAAUCACAGCACAGGUUUGAGGAUGACUAGUCCUUUUCCUGCAUGCCAUAUCUUACAAAAGUUCUUCCUUGUCAAACAAUGACUUAAUUUCUAUGAUGCAGUUUUCAACAAUGCACGAGAUCUAUGAUGAAAGUUAUAUAGACCAGUAAAUGCAAAUCAUACAUAUGUCAUGAAUAAGUAUUAAAAAGAGAUUUUCCUAGCAAAUCGGACGAGAGAAUUAAGAUGUUUCCAACUAAAGAAGGGUAGAACCUACACGAACUACAACUACACAUUGGAAACUGAGGUCAACCAGAUAAAAGUACUCAUUAACACGUUGCACCACCCACUAACACACUGCACUAAUAAAAGAUCCAAGAAAGAAACUGAUUACUAGACUAAUUAACAGAGUCCACCUAAAAGAGAAUACGAUGCCAAAGAACCACAGCCCUCACCCAUAUAUCAGGGGCGAGCCCUCUUGUUACUGCAGGAGGGGCACUUGUACUGCUUAAUAUGCUCAGCUCUAGCAGGGGUGAUCUUCACACACUUUCCAUGGAACCACUUCUCACAGAUGUCGCAACAAAUCCAGAAUUCAUCAGAUGCA
RNAcentral lists this unclassified non-coding RNA (779 nucleotides) under Hevea brasiliensis (rubber tree). The record is from RNAcentral. Lineage: Eukaryota; Viridiplantae; Streptophyta; Magnoliopsida; Malpighiales; Euphorbiaceae.